UUUUUUCCUAGACUCUGCCCAGAGUCAGUCCUGGUCACUCCCAGGACUGGGAUGCUACGCCAAUUGUAGCAUCGAUUAAAUCCCUCUGUUUGCUUCUCUUCCCCCACACGUGACCUCUCAUGAAGCUCCUUUUCUGUCAUCCUGCACGCGUAUGAGUAUUCUUUUAAGCUGCAAUUAGGGCUAGUUGUUGCUUUUUAUUUCUUUUUUCUCUUUCUUGGCCAUGCCUACAGCAUAUGGAAAUUCCCAGGCCAGAGAGCAGACCCAUGCCACAGCAGUGGCUUGAGCCACAGCAAUGACAACACCAGAUCCUUAAGCCACUGAGCCAAAAGGGAACUCCAGUGUUGCCUUUUAAUUUAAAAAAAUAUUUUCAUUAGUUUGGGCCCAUUAUCCCAGCACUUCCACACCAAUGUGAAAUGACACUGCCACUCAUCAUAAUGAAGCAUUCUUUUGAGAGCUUUACAUCAUCUGCAAUUUUUUUUAACCAGGGCCUCUACUUUUUUUUCAAGUUCCGAAUAAAAAUAGGUUUUUGCUAUUGCCCUUCCUUUUGUGUGGCCUAAAGCCAAGAAAAUCAACAUUCUCUAGCAAAAGUCACUCAGUGGGCUAUCCCCAACUAACUGUACAAUCUUAUUUUCAAAAAUUCGAUAUGGGAUUUUUUGAGUGCUUUGUUGAAAUGAAGAUGCACCCACUAUAGACUAUCUUUUGAACCCGGCUACCAUCAUGAAUGUUCUUAGUGAACCCUUAUUGGCUUCUGGUGACCUCUUUAUUAUUUUCCAAUUACUGUCAUCUAGUUAAGAGUCUAAACUACUCAGGGAUUAAGAGAAAUGCGAAAGACCACUUAGGAAAAUGGGAACAGCAUUUCCCAUUUUUGGCAACAUUCCUAUCACAGCUUCUCAAAAUUGGCUAAUAGUAGCCCCAAGGUCAGCUCUCUUACAUUUGGGAUGUAAUUGCCACCUACCCAGGGUUUCCAUGUCCUUUUAACUCAUUUAUCUUUAAUUGCAAAUUUUACUGACAUAACUGUAGAGUCACUUUCAGUUGAAAGAAAUAUACAGAGCAAUCCCGGUACACUUUGCCUGGGGGUUUUUCCAAAACUCUAGUAUAAUAUCACAAUCAGGAUGCUGACAUGGAGACAAGCCCCCCAACCUUCCAGACUUUCUUAGUUUUACUUGUGCUCAUAUAUGCACGUGUGUGUUAACUUCAAUAUCACCCACUUAGAAUCAUGUAUUCAGUCAAGGUACAGAAUGAACAGUUCGAACACCUACUGCUGCCUAUUCAUUAAUCUUUCAGACAUGCUUGCUCUGCGCUUUUUGAUUUUUAAAUCAAUGGCCAUAAAGGAAAAAGACAAAUGGAAUUUUUCCCUCAUUCAUUUUUGGAAUGAACCAUGAUAAAUGGGUGAAGAGGUGUUUUUUUUUCCUACUUUGGAAUGGAAGGGGAAGAAAAGUUCCAAUUAAAAGUAGUUAUGGGGGGACAGCUGCCAUUGGUAACCCAGCAUCUACAGAUAUUUUAACAUAUUAAGAAUCAUUUCCCCCACUAAUCUAUUUGAGAGACAGGACCACAUCCUACACCCCUUCUGUGACCUUGACUCUCCAACACCAACACAUCUCAGAUGACUCAUCUAAGCCAAGGAUCAGCCCUUUUUCUGUAAAGGGCAGAGAGUAAAUAAUUUAGCCUUUACCAGCAGGAUCUCGAUGGCACUGCCUUACUGUGGAAGGGGUAACUGGCAUUACGUAAAGGGCUGGUCACAGCCUAUGCCAGCCUAUUCAUUUAUAAAAAUAGGUGGGAAGCAGCAGCUUGCCAACCCCCUGAUCUGAGCCAGUCAUGAUAAUUGCAUUUCCUCAGCCAGUGACUGAUUGACAAACGGACCUGGGACCCAGUCCCGGUGCACGGGAUGGGAGGGAAGUCUGCUGAGGGGCUUCUCAGAAAACGUAUUUCACAUCUGAGACACUCAAAGAAGAGACGAGCCUUCUUUCGUCUGUGGAUGUUAGCAGAUCUGCAUGUGGUACCUGGAAUCCCUGCAGCCAUCUUGCUCCUUACCUAAAGAUGAAGCCAUCAAAACAGGAAGGCGGAGGGGUUCCUAUCGUGGCUCAGCAGUUAAUGAACCCAACUGGCAUCCGUGAGGACACAGGUUCGAUCCCUGGCCUCGCUCAUGGGUUAAGGAUCCGGCGUUGCUGUGGCUGUGGUGUAGGCCGGUGGCUACAGCUCUGAUGAGACCCCUAGCCUGGGACCCUCCGUAUGCCAUGGGUGUGGCUCUAAAAAGACAAAAGCCAAAAAAAAGGAAAAAAACAAAAAAGAUGACCCACUCCCUGCCGUUUUCCUCCUCUGCCUUUAAGGCUCCCUCGCCCGCCUAGCCCGCGGAAGGCAAGCCGCACGCACACGCGUGCACACUCCUCAGUCUUACCAUCGGGCCUGGGGCCAACCGGUCACCUCACACGAACACAAUUAAAAGUUAAACAUCAAUUAAAAUGUGCAAAAUCCAUUUAGCGCUCUGAAAAAGCACUAAAUACCCGCACACAUUUGGGGCACAAAUUACUCUAAAUUGUUUCCCAUUCGUCUUUAGUGAUCCAACACACUGGGCCUCAUUUUAGACUCUGUUAAUUGCUCACUCGGCUUCCAGAGAAUAAGCAAUGAAAAACGAGCCCAGGAUAAAAGAUAAAAACGGGGAAAGAAACGCCACACUGGGGCGAGUUCUGACAGGCAGGUAGUCUAUCAGAGCCGGCGAAGCAGAGAACUUCUGGGGGAGGGCGAGCCCCAUCCGGGGCCCAGGGGACCAGCAGGUGAGUUCUCCCCUGAGACUUCUGCUGAUGUCUUCAUCUGCAUGUCUGACACAGAUCUGGGGGUCUAACAGGCAUUUCAAGUUUUAUCCUGUCCAAAACAGAAUGUGCAAUUCCGCCCAAAUCCAUUUCUUGUCCUAUCCUCCCCAUCUCAAUAAAUGGUACCCGACUGCAGAAGCCCAAAUUCAGCAUCGCCCUUGAUUUCUUUUCUUCUGCAUCCCCCCAACCAUGCCAUUGGCAGGGUUCAUUUACUCUGCAAUCUGCUCGGUGCUCUCCCGUCCACGGCCACCACCCUCGUCUGGGCCUCUGCCGUGACUCUUGUGAGGUGACUACCCCCACUUCCUAACUGGUCUCCCUGCUCCUCUUUCAGCCUCUCCACGAUCCACUCUUUUAAAAACUAAAUACGACUCCACCUCCCCCCUCGCCCCGCCCCACCCUUAAAACCCUCCGACAGCUUCCCAGCGCCUUUUAGAGUUAGAAGCCUGUGUUCGUUUCCUUCUGCAGCCUUAACAAAUGCCCACAAUUCGGUGGCUUUGCACGAUAUGAAGGCACUCUCAUCCAGAGAUCAGAAGGGUAACGUCAAGGUGUCAGCAGCGUUCUUUCUGGAGGCUUCAGAGGAGCAUCUGCGUCCUUGCCCGUUUUAGCUUCUAGAGCUUCCUGCACGCCUCACCUUCUCUGAUCCCCCUGCCUCCCUCUUACAGGGACCUUUGCAAUUACACCGGGCCCUUCUAGGUAACCCGGGACUGUCAUCCCACCCUGAGAUCUCUAACUUCAUCAGGCCCGCAAAGUCUCUUUUACCAGGUAAGGUAAUGUAUUUGCAGGUUCUGGGACUAGGAUAUGGCCAGUUUAGAAGGGCCCUGAUUCAGUCCAUCACAAAAUCAAAAUCAAAACACAACACACGAGGGGUUCCUGUCAUGGCUCAGUGGUUAAUGAAAUCUGACUAGUAUCUAUGAGGAUGCAAGUUCGAUCCCUGGCCUUGCCCAGUGGGUUAAGGAUCUGGCAUUGCCGUGAGCUGUGGUGUAGGCUAUAGAUGAGGCUCAGAUCCUGCAUUGCUGUGGCUGUGGGAUAGGCCGGCAGCUACAGCUCCCAUACGACCCCUAGCGUGGGAACCUCCAUGUGCUGCAGGUGCAGCCCUAAAAAGCAAAAAAAAAAAAAAAACAAAAAACAAACAAAAAAAAACCAAAAACCCAAUGCAUAAACAGGACACCUCUUUACCACGGUUCACCAGCCUGACGCCACCCGGCUUUGCCCACCUCGCUCACCCUCGUCUCCUACCCCCCUCACUCUCACUCACCUUCUCCUUGCUCUCGGGCCUUCGGGCUGGUCUUCACGGGGCCAGGCCUGCUCCCACCCCAGAGUCCUCACCCCUGCCGUCCCCUGCCCCUGUGGCAUUCCUCCCUCGCCAGUUCCCACAGCGGCUCCGUUCCCGAGAGCUCGGCUGUCACUGCCUCACGGAUCGCCUCCCAGAUCACCUCCUGACUCACUCUCUUCCCGUCGGGGAGUGAACGCCAAGGGGAGCGUCUCUGUCCGCUUUGCUCGCUCUGCCCCCUAGAACAGGGACUGUCACACCUACGACGAAUCCUCGCUGCAGGGGUGAUCGCCAGGACUUGGAAACAUGGGUGAUGUGCUCAUAACACGCCCUCAUAACCCACUCCGGUUUCUAAUCCACAGGUUUAUACCAAUGCUUUUUAAACUCAUCAACAUUUUCAUCCUAGAUCAGCUCUCAGGAUAAAACCAGACAAAAUGAAAUGUAAUAAAAACAACUGUAAAGCCGACAAAAUAUUGGGGGUGGCGUGGGGCGGAGGUGGGGUGAGGGGACAGGGCUGAAAAAGAAGAGGAGCCAUGGGACAUGCCAAGGAGACUCGGAGGGAGCCACUGUGGGUGAUUCCUAACUCAACAGGGCUUGUCAGUGGGAUGCGGCUUCCAAAAACAUGACCUUCCGGGCAAGGGAGGUUUCCAAGCCCAAAGAGGGAAAGGACUGCGUGGCCAUGUCUUCACAACAAAGACAGCUAGCAGUUACCAGAGUGAACCAGGAACAAGGUGCUACAGAGAAAGCGUUACAUAAAACAUCACAACAUUUCAGCCUCACAACACUCUUAUGGAGGGGGCGCUAUGAAUAGUUCUCACUUCCCAGACGAGAGAAACGUAGUUCAAAGAAGUCAGGUAACUUGCCCACAGUUCUAGAAUCAGUAUGUGCUGACGUCAGGAUCCACUCCAAAGCCUGAUUUUAAACAUAACGCUCCACCGCACCAGCUUUUCUUGAUGACGCUGGACACAAGGAAGGGUUGAUAAGAAAGCACUACCAAGAAGUUCCCCUUGUGGCUCAGCAGAAACAAACCCGACGGGGCUCCAUGAGCACAUGGGUUUGCUCCGUGGGUUAAGGAUUUGGCAUUGCCAUGAGCUGUGCUACAGGCUGGCAGGUGCAGCUCCAAUGUGACCCCAAACCUGGGAACUUCCCUAUGCCGUGGGUGCAGCCCUACAAAAAAGACCAAAGGAAAAAAAAAAAAAAA
This 5278-nucleotide long non-coding RNA is filed under the name Sus scrofa (pig). RNAcentral describes it as "lncRNA (ENSSSCG00015061047.1)". The record is from RNAcentral. Lineage: Eukaryota; Metazoa; Chordata; Mammalia; Artiodactyla; Suidae.